RNAcentral lists this non-coding RNA (24 nucleotides) under Arabidopsis thaliana (thale cress). Lineage: Eukaryota; Viridiplantae; Streptophyta; Magnoliopsida; Brassicales; Brassicaceae. The record is from RNAcentral.
UGCUACAAAUACAUACAUGGUUAG